This is a non-coding RNA of Phrynosoma platyrhinos (Desert horned lizard), 73 nucleotides long. Lineage: Eukaryota; Metazoa; Chordata; Lepidosauria; Squamata; Phrynosomatidae. The record is from the annotation of a GenBank genome assembly.
AACAGCAUGGUGCAGUGGUUUGAGUGUUGGACUAGGACCCCAAGAGACCAGGGUUCAAAUCCCUGUUCAGCCA